RNAcentral lists this transfer RNA (75 nucleotides) under Stenotrophomonas phage Pokken. RNAcentral describes it as "tRNA-Arg". It matches the Rfam family "tRNA". From Rfam's summary of the family: Transfer RNA (tRNA) molecules are approximately 80 nucleotides in length. Lineage: Duplodnaviria; Heunggongvirae; Uroviricota; Caudoviricetes; Schitoviridae. The record is from RNAcentral.
GUGUCCAUAGCUCAGUGGUAGAGCAGCGACCUUCUAAUUCGCGGGGCGUUGGUUCGAAUCCAACUGGACACCCCA